GCGCCUGGGGCUCGCGGGCUGGGCCGAGAGUCGGGGGUCCCCGAGCCUCGGGGCCGAGCCUAAGGCGCGCCCGGCCGCACGGGUCCCUCCGCCGCGCCGCGCUCCGGGGUGCCGGGGUGUGCCCCGGUACUCGGGGUCCGCGCCGCCGCCGCCGCCGCCGGGGCUGCUGCUGCUGGUGCUGCCAACGGCGACCCGGGCUCGUCGCGGUCCCCGCCGCACAGGCUUCCCUGGUGGCGCAGUGGUUGAGAGUCCGCCGGCCGAUGCGGGGGACGCGGGUUCGUGCCCCGGUCCGGGAGGAUCCCACGUGCCGCGGAGCGGCUGGGCCCGUGAGCCGUGGCCGCUGAGCCUGCGCGUCCGGAGCCUGCGCUCCGCCACGGGAGAGGCCACAACAGUGAGAGGCCCGCGUACCGCAAAAACCAAAAAAUUCUGUUUGCAAUUAGAAGAAAGAAAGAGGAUACAUGAGAGCAAGUAAAAGGUGAUCCUGAGCCAUCAAAGACCUUCCACCUGGUCUCACAGGAACAUGUCCAUGGCUCAUCUGUCCGCAUUCCAUGUUCAGUUAGAGUAACAACCCCAUUUUUAAUGGUAUUGAAGUUCCUGUCAUUCAUUUCAAAAUGUUUCCUAACUGUAAUUAAGCUGUUUGCUACUGUGUCUCACUGCUGUUUUCCACUGGUUCUUUUUCUUUUUUUUCCCUUUAAAUUCUUAAGCAAGUUCACUUUACUCUCAUCUCAGUGCUGUUUGCAAUCUCCAGCUAAUCGCAUAGGAGGGGAAAACCCGUGUUGUCUUCCCAAGUUUGCUUUCUGGAUGCUGUUCCCAGUCGUGAUUGGACUACAAUUUCAAACAUAACCAUGCAUAAUUAAAACAUUUUAGUGAUAAUAACAAA
Molecule: long non-coding RNA, 880 nt
Organism: Physeter macrocephalus (sperm whale)
Lineage: Eukaryota; Metazoa; Chordata; Mammalia; Artiodactyla; Physeteridae
Exons: 3
Source: RefSeq, a predicted model, not a curated record